GUGAGGAAUUUUCCGCAAUGGGCGAAAGCCUGACGGAGCAAUGCCGCGUGAAGGAUGAAGGCCUAUGGGUUGUAAACUUCUUUUCUCAGAAAAGAAUUAUGACGGUAUCUGAGGAAUAAGCAUCGGCUAACUUCGUGCCAGCAGCCGCGGUAAGACGAGGGAUCCUAGCGUUGCUCGGAAUCAUUGGGCGUAAAGAGGGCGUAGGUGGCUUGGUAAGUCAGGUGUGAAAGCCCAGGGCUCAACCCUGGAAGUGCAUUUGAUACUGCUGAGCUUGAGUGUCGGAGAGGUUACCGGAAUACCUGGUGUAGUGGUGAAAUACGUAGAUAUCAGGUGGAACACCGGAGGCGAAGGCGGGUAACUGGACGAACACUGACACUGAGGCCCGAAAGCGUGGGGAUCAAACAGGAUUAGAUACCCGGGUAGUCC
RNAcentral lists this ribosomal RNA (426 nucleotides) under uncultured bacterium. RNAcentral's name for it is "partial 16S ribosomal RNA". It matches the Rfam family "Bacterial small subunit ribosomal RNA", at positions 354 to 796 of the family's 1533-position model. The record is from RNAcentral.